Molecule: ribosomal RNA, 460 nt
Filed under: uncultured bacterium
Lineage: Bacteria
Description: partial 16S ribosomal RNA
Rfam family: Bacterial small subunit ribosomal RNA
Source: RNAcentral
CCUAUGGGUGGCAGCAGUGAGGAAUAUUGGUCAAUGGGCGCGAGCCUGAACCAGCCAAGUAGCGUGAAGGAUGACUGCCCUACGGGUUGUGACCUUCUUUUAUAAAGGAAUAAAGUGAGGCACGUGUGCCUUUUUGUCUGUACUUUAUGAAUAAGGAUCGGCUAACUCCGUGCCAGCAGUCUCGGUAAUACGGAGGGUCCGAGCGUUAUCCGGAUUUAUUGGGUUUAAAGGGAGCGUAGAUGGGUUGUUAAGUCAGUUGUGAAAGUUUGCGGCUCAACCGUAAAAUUUCAAUUGAUACUGGCAGCCUUGAGUACAGUUGAGGUAGGCGGAAUUCGGGGUGUAGCGGUGAAAUGCUUAGAUAUCACGAAGAACUCCGAUUGCGAAGGCAGCUUACUAAACUGCCACUGACAUUGAUGCUCGAAAGUGUGGGUAGCAAACAGGAUUAGAUACCCCUGUAGUC